GUGCUUAACACAUGCAAGUCGAACGGAAAGGUCUCUUCGGAGAUACUCGAGUGGCGAACGGGUGAGUAACACGUGGGUAAUCUGCCCUGCACAUCGGGAUAAGCCUGGGAAACUGGGUCUAAUACCGAAUAGGACCUCGAGGCGCAUGCCUUGUGGUGGAAAGCUUUUGCGGUGUGGGAUGGGCCCGCGGCCUAUCAGCUUGUUGGUGGGGUGACGGCCUACCAAGGCGACGACGGGUAGCCGGCCUGAGAGGGUGUCCGGCCACACUGGGACUGAGAUACGGCCCAGACUCCUACGGGAGGCAGCAGUGGGGAAUAUUGCACAAUGGGCGCAAGCCUGAUGCAGCGACGCCGCGUGGGGGAUGACGGCCUUCGGGUUGUAAACCUCUUUCAGCAGGGACGAAGCGCAAGUGACGGUACCUGCAGAAGAAGCACCGGCCAACUACGUGCCAGCAGCCGCGGUAAUACGUAGGGUGCGAGCGUUGUCCGGAAUUACUGGGCGUAAAGAGCUCGUAGGUGGUUUGUCGCGUUGUUCGUGAAAUC
This 542-nucleotide ribosomal RNA is filed under the name Mycobacterium heidelbergense. RNAcentral's name for it is "bacterial SSU rRNA". It matches the Rfam family "Bacterial small subunit ribosomal RNA", at positions 44 to 601 of the family's 1533-position model. Lineage: Bacteria; Bacillati; Actinomycetota; Actinomycetes; Mycobacteriales; Mycobacteriaceae. The record is from RNAcentral.